UAGUCCACGCCGUAAACGAUGAGUGCUAGAUGUCGGAAACAUAGUUUUCGGUUUCGCAGCUAACGCAUUAAGCACUCCGCCUGGGGAGUACGAUCGCAAGAUUAAAACUCAAAGGAAUUGACGGGGGCUCGCACAAGCGGUGGAGCAUGCGGUUUAAUUCGAUGCUACGCGAAAAACCUUACCAACCCUUGACAUGGUGGUCGCGGGUCUUAGAGAUAAGACUCUUCAGUUUGGCUGGACCACACACAGGUGUUGCAUGGCUGUCGUCAGCUCGUGUCGUGAGAUGUUGGGUUAAGUCCCGCAACGAGCGCAACCCUCAUCCUUAUUUGCCAGCGGCUUGGCCGGGGACUAUAAGGAAACUGCCCACGCAAGUAGUGAGGGAAGGUGGGGGAUGGACGUCAAGUCAUCAUGGCCCUUACGUCCUGGGGCUACACACGUGCUACAA
Molecule: ribosomal RNA, 445 nt
Filed under: uncultured bacterium
Lineage: Bacteria
Description: bacterial SSU rRNA
Rfam family: Bacterial small subunit ribosomal RNA
Source: RNAcentral